Molecule: non-coding RNA, 140 nt
Organism: Daucus carota subsp. sativus
Lineage: Eukaryota; Viridiplantae; Streptophyta; Magnoliopsida; Apiales; Apiaceae
Source: Rfam
GUUGCCUCUUAAAUAGAAAUGACCAUCAUAUAUUACGUUAUUGGUAGUCUUAUAUGAUAAGAAGCAUAAAUUAAACAAACCAGUUUAUAACAGCAUGAUGUUCUUUUAUGUCAUUGUGUUACCUGUCUGCUGGCACAUUU